GUUCCAGACCACCAUGAUAAGGAAUUACCAAAAUGUGACAGAGACACGAAGUGAGCAAAUGCUGUUGGAAAAUGGCACUGAUAGACUUGCUCGAAGCAGGGUUGGCACAAACCUUCAAUUUGUAAAAAAGGCAAUAUCUGUGAAGUGUGAUAAAGUGAAGCCCAAUAAAACGAGAAACAAAGAUGAAAAAAAGACGUUUUCAGAUACAGGAAAGAUGAAGGAGCCCGUCACUAACACUCUCCCACUUCAGGAAAAUUUUAAAGUAUGUCCUUCAGGCAGCAGGAAAAUGAUACCACUUGAAAAAAGAAAAAAGAGCAACAGAAGUGGUAACUACUUAGCUUCUCUCCAAGAUAAAAUGGCAAAUCCCAAAGAGAAAACUCCAAUGUGUCUGGUAAAUGAGUUAGCCCGUUUCAAUAGAGUCCAACCCCAGUAUAAACUUCUGAGAGAAAGAGGGCCCGCUCAUUCGAAGAUGUUCUCAGUGCAGCUGAGUCUUGGUGAGCAGACAUGGGAAUCCGAAGGGAGCAGUAUAAAGAAGGCCCAACAAGCUGUUGCUAAUAAAGCUUUGACUGAAUCUACGCUUCCCAAACCAGUUCAGAAACCACCCAAAAGUAAUGUUAAUAAUAACCCAGGUAGUAUAACUCCAACCGUGGAACUGAAUGGGCUUGCUAUGAAAAGGGGAGAGCCUGCCAUCUACAGGCCGCUGGAUCCAAAGCCUUUCCCCAAUUACAGAGCCAACUACAACUUUCGGGGCAUGUACAAUCAGAGGUAUCAUUGCCCAAUGCCCAAGAUCUUUUAUGUUCAGCUGACUGUAGGAAAUAAUGAAUUUUUUGGAGAAGGAAAGACUCGGCAGGCUGCUAGACACAACGCUGCAAUGAAAGCCCUUCAAGCAUUGCAGAAUGAACCUAUUCCAGAAAAAUCACCUCAGAAUGGCGAAUCAGGAAAAGAGAUGGAUGAUGACAAAGAUGCAAAUAAAUCUGAGAUCAGCUUAGUGUUUGAAAUUGCUCUGAAGCGAAAUAUGCCCGUCAGUUUUGAGGUUAUUAAAGAAAGUGGGCCACCACAUAUGAAAAGCUUUGUUACUCGGGUGUCGGUGGGAGAGUUCUCUGCAGAAGGAGAGGGAAAUAGCAAAAAGCUCUCCAAGAAGCGUGCUGCCACCACCGUCUUACAGGAGCUGAAGAAACUUCCACCCCUUCCUGUGGUUGAAAAGCCAAAACUAUUUUUUAAAAAACGCCCUAAAACAAUAGUCAAGGCUGGACCAGAAUAUGGUCAAGGAAUGAACCCCAUUAGCCGCCUGGCUCAGAUUCAACAGGCCAAAAAGGAGAAGGAGCCGGAUUACGUUUUGCUUUCAGAAAGGGGAAUGCCUCGGCGUCGGGAAUUUGUGAUGCAGGUCAAGGUAGGCAAUGAAGUUGCUACUGGAACAGGACCUAAUAAAAAGAUAGCCAAAAAAAAUGCUGCGGAAGCAAUGCUGUUGCAACUUGGUUACAAAGCAUCCACUAGUCUUCAAGAUCAACUCGACAAGACUGGGGAAAACAAAGGAUGGAGUGGUCCAAAGGCUGGGUUUCCGGAACCAACAAGUAACACUCCAAAAGGAAUUCUUCAUUUGUCUCCUGAUGUUUAUCAAGAGAUGGAAGCCAGCCGCCACAAAGUAAUCUCUGGCACUACUCUAGGCUAUUUGUCACCCAAAGAUAUGAACCAACCCUCAAGCUCUUUCUUCAGUAUAUCGCCCACAUCGAAUAGUUCAGCUACAAUUGCCAGGGAACUCCUUAUGAAUGGAACAUCUCCAGCUGAAGCCGUAGGUUUAAAAGGGAGUUCUCCUACUCCCCCUUGUUCUCCAGUACAACCUUCAAAACAACUGGAAUAUUUAGCAAGGAUUCAAGGCUUUCAGGUUCACUACUGUGAUAGACAAAGUGGCAGAGAGUGUGUGACCUGUCUGACAUUAGCCCCUGUGCAGAUGACUUUCCAUGCUAUUGGAAGCUCCAUUGAAGCCAGCCAUGACCAGUGCCCUUGCGUGGAGAGGAUAACAGAGCAUAGCAUAAUGACGGAUCUUCUCAAACACAUGAUUAAUUGUCCAACUCAAACCAGGCCUAGGAAAACCUUCUUAGGGGCAGCCCUCUCUAGUUCAGGACGUCUCUGACAUUGUGGGUCUCCAGCCAUCACUUGUUGAUUGGUGAUGAGGUCUUGUGGUGUUCAAGAAAGAGCAACUAGAUCAUAAAAUCUGAACUUUAGGAACUAACCAUGGCGUAAGUUAGCUGCACUUCGCUGGAUGGAAUCUGUCAUCUCUUUGGGACUCUGUUUCCUGGAACGUUAAUGAGGGAAUUGAGUUGGGUGACUUACAAGAUUCAUUCCAGUGCUCCCGUUUUAUAGCUCUGUAACUGAUCUUCCUGCUCCUGGUUGGAUGAGGCCAACCAAUACUAAACAGUUAAUAGCGUAUUGAUCUGGAAAGCAGCGUAGAGACCCCCCAGUGCUUCCCAGGGUUUCGCGCUGAUGUACACCCUGGCUGCCAUCCGAGAGAUGUGCCUGCACCAGCUUAUAUAAAGAGUUAUCCCUGUGUGAACUACAACUUAACUGCGUGCCAGGUGCUACGGAAAUGUGGUGAGAAGUUCAGACAUGGUUCUCGCUCUCCUAGAACCUACAGUCGAAGAACUUCACUUCUUUGAAUAUUUAGUAGGAAGUCUAGCUACUGCUAUAUCUAUCUCUCUAUCCAUUCGUGGCAGAAACAAAUGACGAGAGCAGCGUGAGAUAACCAUCCUGCAAAGGUCUCUCCUUAAGCUGAGCAAAGAAAUGAAAUGGUGCCUCAACCACCCACACCCCUAAGAAGAACGACCCACUGUUAGCAGAGGUAGUGUGUUCUAUAAAAGAGCACUGGACUGGGAGGGGAGACUGAAAUCAGACCCAGAUUUGCCAUGAAGUAGCUGUGGGGCCUGGUCUCUUCACCUCUUGGAACUUGGCUUCUUUGUGAGUAAAAUAAUGAGGCUGGUUCAGGCUUGUGCCCAGUGCAUGUGCCAAGCUACUCAAAGUCCAGGGCUACUGUUAGCCCACAUGGCACCUUUACAAGUUAGAAAAAAAAAAGGCACUUCUUUCUCAAGGCAUUCUACUGCUGUCCAACAGAAAAUGUAAUAGACAAAUCCACGAUAACUACAGUGUGAAUGGAGCCCUCCCACUCAAGAUGUGCAGUGCACAACCUGCACAACUGUACACAGUGGUCUUAUACUGCAUCUGUCUGGAGUGUCAGCUUUACUCAAUGGCAGCUUUAAGUGCCUUGAAACAAUUUUCUGAACAAGGACUGGAUCCAAUGGAAGGGGCCAUGAAUAUUGAAAAAGGUUCCCUUGAAAA
Molecule: non-coding RNA, 3330 nt
Organism: Equus caballus (horse)
Lineage: Eukaryota; Metazoa; Chordata; Mammalia; Perissodactyla; Equidae
Source: RefSeq, a predicted model, not a curated record